Molecule: unclassified non-coding RNA, 377 nt
Filed under: uncultured Actinomycetes bacterium
Lineage: Bacteria; Bacillati; Actinomycetota; Actinomycetes
Description: uncultured actinobacterium contains 16S-23S intergenic spacer region
Source: RNAcentral
UCCGAGUUGACCCCGGCAGUCUCCCAUGAGUCCCCGCCAUAACGCGCUGGCAACAUGGAACGAGGGUUGCGCUCGUUGCGGGACUUAACCCAACAUCUCACGACACGAGCUGACGACAACCAUGCACCACCUGUGAACGGCGCAAAAGCACCCCACAUCUCUGCAGGUAGACCGAACAUGUCAAGCCCAGGUAAGGUUCUUCGCGUUGCAUCGAAUUAAGCCACAUGCUCCGCCGCUUGUGCGGGCCCCCGUCAAUUCCUUUGAGUUUUAGCCUUGCGGCCGUACUCCCCAGGCGGGGAACUUAAUGCGUUAGCUGCGGCACAGAGCCCGUGGAAUGGACCCCACACCUAGUUCCCAACGUUUACGGCGUGGACUAC